This 490-nucleotide ribosomal RNA is filed under the name uncultured bacterium. RNAcentral describes it as "partial 16S ribosomal RNA". It matches the Rfam family "Bacterial small subunit ribosomal RNA", at positions 28 to 507 of the family's 1533-position model. The record is from RNAcentral.
GAUGAACGCUAGCGAUAGGCUUAACACAUGCAAGUCGAGGGGCAGCAUGGUCUUAGCUUGCUAAGACUGAUGGCGACCGGCGCACGGGUGCGUAACGCGUAUGCAACUUGCCUCACAGAGGGGGAUAACCCGUCGAAAGACGGACUAAUACCGCGUACACUCCAUCUUGGGCAUCCAAGUUAGAGGAAAUGAAAUUCGCUGUGAGAUAGGCAUGCGUCCCAUUAGCUAGUUGGUGAGGUAACGGCUCACCAAGGCGACGAUGGGUAGGGGAACUGAGAGGUUGAACCCCCACACUGGUACUGAGACACGGACCAGACUCCUACGGGAGGCAGCAGUGAGGAAUAUUGAUCAAUGGGCGAGAGCCUGAACCAGCCAAGUCGCGUGAAGGAUGACUGUCUUAUGGAUUGUAAACUUCUUUUAUACGGGAAUAACAAGAGUCACGUGUGACUCCCUGCAUGUACCGUAUGAAUAAGCAUCGGCUAACUCCGUG